This 496-nucleotide ribosomal RNA is filed under the name uncultured bacterium. Its description in RNAcentral is "partial 16S ribosomal RNA". It matches the Rfam family "Bacterial small subunit ribosomal RNA", at positions 29 to 507 of the family's 1533-position model. The record is from RNAcentral.
AUGAACGCUGGCGGCGUGCCUAAUACAUGCAAGUCGAGCGCACAGACGAGGAGCUUGCUCCUCUGACGUUAGCGGCGGACGGGUGAGUAACACGUGGAUAACCUACCUAUAAGACUGGGAUAACUUCGGGAAACCGGAGCUAAUACCGGAUAAUAUAUUGAACCGCAUGGUUCAAUAGUGAAAGACGGUUUUGCUGUCACUUAUAGAUGGAUCCGCGCCGCAUUAGCUAGUUGGUAAGGUAACGGCUUACCAAGGCAACGAUGCGUAGCCGAUCUGAGAGGGUGAUCGGCCACACUGGAACUGAGACACGGUCCAGACUCCUACGGGAGGCAGCAGUAGGGAAUCUUCCGCAAUGGGCGAAAGCCUGACGGAGCAACGCCGCGUGAGUGAUGAAGGUCUUCGGAUCGUAAAACUCUGUUAUUAGGGAAGAACAAAUGUGUAAGUAACUAUGCACGUCUUGACGGUACCUAAUCAGAAAGCCACGGCUAACUACGUG